Molecule: long non-coding RNA, 1803 nt
Organism: Oncorhynchus tshawytscha (Chinook salmon)
Lineage: Eukaryota; Metazoa; Chordata; Actinopteri; Salmoniformes; Salmonidae
Source: Ensembl
CAUUUUUUAAUUCUUUAUUGUACUUAGUUUUAUUAGCACUUAAACAUUAAGUAAAGCUAAACUUGUAAACAAACACAUUGCUCCUGUAACAACUACAGAUCAAUAUAAGAUAAAAACACUGCUUGUUUCACUCUAAAUUAAUUAUAAUCAAGUACUGUGCAAUCAGAGAUGGUAUAACUACGAAUAAUCACGAAUCACCAUUUAUAAGGUGACCUAUUUCUACAAUACUGCAUUAAUACUGAAUCUGGUCUCAGGGAAUUUUGUGUUAUUCUGUACUUAAAUCCGAGAUGCAUUUGGUAUGGUUACAUAAGACAGAUGGUUACUCAAGGCAAAAAUGAAAAGUAGGGUGGUUGGUCAGGCGUAUAAUGCGAAGGUCUAGCAACCCAAAAGUUGAAAGUUUGAAUCUCAUCAAGGACAACAUUAGCAUUUGAGCUAAUUAGCAACUUUCCAACUACCUACUACAUUUGAACUAUUUUGAAACUACUUAGCAUGUUAGCUAACCCUAACCCCUAGCCUAGCUAACGUUAGCGAGUGAGCUAUUGGUAGCCACCUAGCAACCUACCUAGAAUUCAUAACAUAUCAUACGUUUUGAUCAUUCGUAACGUAUUGUACAUUUAGCAAAUUCAUGACAUAUUGCACGUUUUGCACAUUCGUAACAUAUAAUACGAAUUGUAAUUUGUAACAAAUCAUACGAAAUGGGUAAUAGUCAUCCACUAAUUAAUACAUUAAAAAAACAUUAUUUAACCUUUAUUUAUACCAUUAAGAAAUGUAUCAUAACAUACUAUAUGGGGUGUUUCGGAUUAACAUACAGAAUAAUGCGAAAUGCUCUUAGACAAGGUUGCAACAACACUUUUUGCUUUGGCACAGACUGAUUUUCCUAGUUAAAUAAAGGUUAAGAACUAAUUCUUAUUUACAAUGAAUGCCUACUGGGGAACAGUGGGUUUUGUGCUUAUUGCAGCAGCAGAGGGCACUCUCUAUUGGUCUGUCCCGUUACAGUGGAAAACAGAGCUAAACGAAAACGAGUUUGGAACUUCAGAACUUUUCCCGUGGGGUCUUAAAGGAGAACAGAGAGGGGUAUGAAAUUCUGGACAUGAAAACAUACCUUUCAAUGAACAAGAUACAAAACUAAAGGAAUUUCUAAUGUAUCUUUUUAUACAAAACACACAACAUAUAAAACCAGCUCUUUCAGGUUAAAAUCACAUGAGAAAAAUUGUGUAGAUCUGUUUUUGUCCACCUUGGAGUGGUUUGUGUUCUCAGACUGAGUCAGACAGAACAACAGCGCAGAAACUAGGCUCAUAGUGCUCUGUUCCUAGUGCAUCAUUGUCCUGUUUACAACUACUGCUGAGUAGUCUUAAUGACUUCUGCCAUUGCUCAUCAGCCUUUAUACACACAUGGAUUCUUCAGGAUGGUUGCAUAGCAGUCUGUCUGUCCCCUCCAAACUACAUUGUUCAGGCAAUACCAAUACUUUAGAGAGCAUCCCUCCUUCCUUGGUUCCUCCCUUGAAUUUGCUCUUUCCUCCCUUCCUUGAAGGGAGGGAAGGGUGCAUUUUAUAAGUAUUGCAACUGGGCCACUGUCCCCUACUCCUCAGACAGCCUGUAAGGGUUGGACCCGGGAGCCCUGGUAUUUAGGCUUUCCACAGCAACAGCAGUGAACGCAGGAUAGAACAAUCAUAAACAGGAAAGUGGCUGGAAGGAGAGAGAGAGAAAGAGAGAUUUAGCUUUCUAACAUUAUUACCGUACCAAUCAAAAGUUUGAACGCACCAACUCGUUCAACGGUUUUUCCUUAUUUUUUUACUAUUUUCUA